This 450-nucleotide ribosomal RNA is filed under the name uncultured bacterium. Its description in RNAcentral is "bacterial SSU rRNA". It matches the Rfam family "Bacterial small subunit ribosomal RNA", at positions 45 to 494 of the family's 1533-position model. The record is from RNAcentral.
GGCCUAACACAUGCAAGUCGAGGGGUAUAGGAGGCUUGCUUCCUAGAGACCGGCGCACGGGUGCGUAACGCGUAUGCAACCUACCUUUAUCUGGGGGAUAGCCCGAAGAAAUUCGGAUUAACACCGCAUAAAAUCACAGUAUCGCAUGAUACAAUGAUCAAAUAUUUAUAGGAUAAAGAUGGGCAUGCGUGUCAUUAGUUAGUUGGCGGGGUAACGGCCCACCAAGACCACGAUGACUAGGGGAUCUGAGAGGAUGACCCCCCACACUGGUACUGAGACACGGACCAGACUCCUACGGGAGGCAGCAGUAAGGAAUAUUGGUCAAUGGAGGCAACUCUGAACCAGCCAUGCCGCGUGCAGGAAGACGGCCCUCUGGGUUGUAAACUGCUUUUAUUCGGGAAUAAACCUAUCUACGUGUAGAUAGCUGAAUGUACCGAAGGAAUAAGGAUC